Molecule: transfer RNA, 86 nt
Filed under: Copromyces sp. CBS 386.78
Lineage: Eukaryota; Fungi; Ascomycota; Sordariomycetes; Sordariales; Sordariaceae
Description: tRNA-Ala
Rfam family: tRNA
About the family: Transfer RNA (tRNA) molecules are approximately 80 nucleotides in length. Their secondary structure includes four short double-helical elements and three loops (D, anti-codon, and T loops).
Source: RNAcentral
GGGCAAUUGGUCUAGGGGUAUGAUUUUCGCUUCGCAUUCCAGAUGCGCCUUGUGAAAGGUCAUGGGUUCGAAUCCCAUAUUGUCCA